GAUGAAGAACGUAGCGAAAUGCGAUACUUGGUGUGAAUUGCAGAAUCCCGUGAACCAUCGAGUCUUUGAACGCAAGUUGCGCCCGAAGCCAUCAGGUUGAGGGCACGUCUGCCUGGGCGUCACAUAUCGUUGCUCGAUGCCUAUCGCAUUGCGAUAGGACUUAGGGCGAAUGAUGGCUUCCCGUGAGCGUUGUUGCCUCGCGGUUGGUUGAAAAUCGAGUCCUUGGUAGGGUGUGCCAUGAUAGAUGGUGGUUGAGUGAUGAUGCUCGGGACCAAUCAUGGGUAACUCCACCAGAAUUGGGCUCGGUGACCCACAUGCGUCCCUUGGAUGCUCCCUAAGGAGACCUCAGGUCAGGCGGGGCUACCCGCUGAGUUUAAGCAUAUCAAUAAGCGGAGGA
RNAcentral lists this unclassified non-coding RNA (397 nucleotides) under soil metagenome. Its description in RNAcentral is "partial contains 5.8S ribosomal RNA, internal transcribed spacer 2, and large subunit ribosomal RNA". The stretch from base 1 to 122 matches the Rfam family "5.8S ribosomal RNA", at positions 35 to 154 of the family's 154-position model. The record is from RNAcentral.